CCCUUUUCACUUUGAAAAAAAUAUGAAAUUUACAGUUUCUGUUCAUUAUCUACCCAACAGUGUUACAUAUUCAACUCAAAUUUGAAAUAUGGAUAUGUCAAAUGAAUGGGCAGGUCAAGUUGGAAUUUGGUCAUGGUUCGAUGAUUUUUUGGCAGAGUUAUGUCCCUUUCACUUUGAAAAUAAUAUAGAUACAUCUUAGGAAUAGGCAGUUUAAGUUUGAAUUUGGUCGUGGUUCAAUGACUUUGGAUAAACUUAUCUUUCUUGAAUAUUGGAAAAAAUUUUGAACAUUCAGAUUCAGCACUCAUACUUUUGUGGAAAUGUAUGUAGCCAUUAUUUUGGCUACAAAUAUGAAAUAUGCUAUUUUCAAAAGGUUAAGACUGAAUAAUUUCAGUGCUUUGAACAUUGUAUGAAAAUGGUUUGUGUUAACAUUGAAAAGUUUUAAGGGCUUUGAACUUAAAAUGAAAACAAUAAUUUGUGCAAACAAAUUUGGAACUAAAUAUAAUAACAUCUGAAAUUUUGGCUGCAUGCGGGGGCAUCCGUGGCAUGAUGACACAUUUCUAGUUUCCUUCUAUAACAGGGGCUAUUAUAAUUAAAGGCCCCUUCACAAUUCAAAAUUGCACCUUCCGGUAAAAUUAAAUUGAUUUAUGCCAAUUGCAAUAACACAGAAAUAGUUUUAAUCAAGUUUAAUGAUUUUUGCGCAUGUUCACCGGGUACCGACUUGAAGCAGAUUUUACACAGGUCAGAAAUUAUAAUCAACUGUUUCCAGUUUCAAAAUGUUGCCAAAUGCCAGGAAAUAUGUCAUUUUUUUUCACAAUUUAAUGACAUAUCUCGCUUUUUUUCACAAAAUGAACAGGCCCAGGCCCCUCCACAAUUUUGACAAAAAAUGCUCUGGUCUUAGCUUUAAAUUCUCUUUCCAGUUACAGUUUAUGUGAGAUUUAGUGAGCAUCUUAAAUAGUUUGAUGGAAUAAUUGUUACAGGGACUUGUGUUUCCUACAACUUUUACAUUAUUGUAUUUUUUCCUCAUAAACAUAUUAAUUUUUAAUAGCAAUUAUUGUAACAUUUUCAUAGUAAGACUAUCAACAAGCACCAGAAACAUUAUAUUUUGGGUAAUGCUAUCAUAAAAAAACUUUUGGGCAAAUUUGCUUUAUUUUAAGUUCUUGUAAAUACACAAAAAUGUAAUUGCAAAUUCAAUAUAUUUUUUGAAAAGAAAAAAGCCUGCAUUACAUGUACUUUUGAAAAAUAAGAAAGUACUGUGCAGCAGGCACAUAACUUUUUUAUUAAUUCAUGGAUUUGAUUUAUACUCGGGCAAAAGAACUCUCAUAACAAAACCGACAUGUUGACUAUUUAAGAUUUAACCUUGAUCUUUAUAUGACCAUAAAUGUCAAGGUUAAAAUAUUGACCUUAUCUUAGAUUGUCAUCACUCUUAUUUAUUCAAGGAUUUGAUUUAUACCGGGAAAAAAAAUCUUAUGACAAAACACAUAUUUUCCAUGAUUUUUAUUUGACCUUGACCAUCAUAAUUUGUCCUUGACUGUCAAGGUUAAGUUAUUGAAAUUUGCUUUAAUUUUCAUAUUUUUUUUUGUACAGAUUUUGUUCAUACAUGUACUUGGACAAAACGAGCAUUUUGAAUUAUUUAAAAAUGACCUAGUCCUUUGAAAUUUGCCUUAAUUGUAAUAACUCUCGAUGAAUCUCAUGUUAAAUAUGAUAUUUGUCAGAAUUAUAUUUUGUUUAACACAGUUACGUUUUCUAGGAGUAUUAUGUAUGUACUAAAUUUUUUUUUCCAGCGUGUUUAUAAUGCUGCAAAAUUAAAUAUAAGAAGAGAUGAUAGACACACUGACCAUAGUGUUUGCAGAAGCGGUUGGUCCAUCUCAGCCGUGGUGGAGUAUUCGUCGCAGAAGCUGUGGAUAAAAUAUGGCCGUUUGCUGUUGUCAAUCUACCUAUCAUUUUUACCAGUCGGGCAUAAGCAUGAAGAUAAGAUACCUCCUUAAACAAGAAACUUCACUCUACGGAUUGUGAGACAAGGCCAGAUCUUAAAGUUAUUGAAGGAUGCACAAAUGAUAGAUGCAAUGGCCAACUAAAAAGAAUGGAUGAACAAAAUUUAUCAUUUGAGGCUUCUCUACCGGACAUUUUGCUUGGGUUAGGGCUUUGGGCCUUAUAUUUAGCGUAUGUAGCGAAGACCUACAAAAAUAAUAGUAAUACAAAAACAAAUCUGCAACAGAAUCACACAAAUGUUGUUAAAACUAUUUAAUAGAGAAAAUAGUUCUUUUUAAGAAAAUGUGUACAUUUUAUACAAAGAAAGAACUAAUGGAAGGACUAAAAAAUGAACAUGCCACAUGCAUAUCUCCCAGGUGUUUUGCUUGGGUUAGGGCUUAAAUUAAUCUUACAUUGCUGUAAAAAAGACCUACCAAACUAUUGCAAUAACAAAUCUGGACUCAGACAAAUAGUGUUUAAAUGAUUGGCUGGAGAAAAUGGUGCUUUUUACAAAAAAUUAUACAUUAUAAACAUGUACAGAGCUCAACAAGUAAACCUGACUUAGCACUACAAAUUUGUAAAAAGUUAUUUGAAUAUUGUUUUCACAAAGGCAGACUUGGGAAAAAGUAAGCGACACCUGCCCUGAUUUAAAGCGGAUUCUCUUUUUGGCAGAUUUUAGAUUGUUGAUAUUUCAAGAAUAGAAAAACGGAAACAAACAGUGAGUUAUUUAUUAUCUGGAAAUGAAGAUGCAGUGGUAUUUUGGAGAAAAAAAAUAUCAAAUGAAUUAUAUGUUGUUAAUUAAAGAGAAAAAAUUGCUUGAUAAGAUCUUGCAAGGUUGUUCAGAAUUUGUUAUACUUCAUGUGCAAUAAGUUAAUUUUCUGCCAGCAGAACAGAAUCAUUUAUGAUUAUACAUGUAUAUUUUAACAAGUAAAUCAAGAGAAGGAGAGAACACAUGUCAAACAACUGGAUGGUUUGUAACUGGUACUUUUAUUCAAGGAUUUACCAGUUUCGAUCUUUCAAGACCUUCAUGGGGAUUUAAUUUCAAUAAUAAAUGAUUAUACUGAUGUACUAAAAAAGAGGAAACAGAAUGUGACAUAUGUUACUAUAACUAGACAUAUAAAAGAGUUUUCUUGGCAAAAUGCCAAGUUAUUGUCCAUAUAAAAUGUUUCAAAUGUUGGUUAACCACAGAUCAUAUCUAUCAUCAAUGACCAAUUUUACGGCAUGGUUAAAGUGUUCAUAUUCACCUAGAAUGAUUGUGUUGCAAAAAUGUAGUUGAAACUUAAAGCUUCGCAGUCUUAAAAAGGGACUCCUGACUGAGGUUUAAAAGCCUAAAAACAUAACAUUUGAAUUUCUUACAUAAUUGAGCUAGGACACUUUAAACAGAAAUAUAUGCAAAGAUAGUUAAGAAAUAUACUUUGAAAUAAAUUGAAAAUCGUAUUAUUAUGCUUUCCUUAGGCCGAAUUGAGUGAAAAGGGUUUAAACGCUUUUCAUUUUGGGUCAUUUUUUACAAUUUGAAUACAUUUGUUUUGUAAUUAUUCUGGAAAAACUAAGUGCGCGAAUGAUCUGAAAUUUUGCACAAAGAUUAGUUGUCUAAACCUACAUCAAUUGGUACAUUUAUCUGGAAAAAUUAUUUCCAGUCCAAUCAUGUCAAAAAACCUCAGUGGAGUCCCUUUAAGUUGAUUGUAGUUACUUAGGAGAAAAUUAGUUGGAUUCUGUAUUAAUUUUACAAACUAAAUUUCCUUUUUUUUUGUGAGUAAAUAUAUAGAUGUUAGUUGAGACUUCCUUCUGAAGUUGUUUCCUUUAUGUAAUAUUUUAACAAAUUUUAUCUUAAAAUUUAGUAUGGUAUUUUAGCUGCUGGUUCUUGCAGAACAGAAUCACUUAUGGUUAUAUCCUAUGUUUAAAUUGAUGUUAUCAUACUUAUGUUCCGCCGGCAGAACAAUUUCAAAUUAAUUUUAUUAAAUGAUAUUCUUUCUGAUUUAUAUUUUUGAUUAAACCUAAAAAGGUUGUUAAGAUUUUUCUUGUAAUAAAUAAAUGUUCCGCCGGCAGAACAGAAUCACUUAUGGUUAUAUCCUAUGUUUAAAUUGAUGUUAUCAUACUUAUGUUCCGCCGGCAGAACAAUUCCAAAUUAAUUUUAUUAAAUGAUAUUCUUUCUGAUUUAUAUUUUUGAAUAAACCUAAAAAGGUUGUUAAGAUUUUUCUUGUAAUAAAAUUAUAAAUAAAUGUUCCGCCGGCAGAACAGAAUCACUUAUGGUUAUAUCCUAUGUUUAAAUAUUAUUGAUGUUAUCAUACUUAUGUUCCGCCGGCAGAACAAUUUCAAAUCACUUUUAUUAAAUGAUAUUCGUUCUGAAUUAUAUUUUUGAUUAAACCAAAAAAGUUUAAGAAUAUUUUUUGUAGUAAAUAAAUGUUCCGCCAGCAGAACAGAAUCACUUAUGGUUAUAUUCUAUGUUUAAAUUGAUGUUAUCAUAUUUAUGUUCCGCCGGCAGAACAAUUUCAAAUCAAUUUUAUUAAAUGAUAUUCUUUCUGAAUAAACCUAAAAAGGUUGUUAAGAUUUUUCUUGUAAUAAAUAAAUGUUCCGCCGGCAGAACAGAAUCACUUAUGGUUAUAUCCUAUGUUUAAAUUGAUGUUAUCAUACUUAUGUUCCGCCGGCAGAACAAUUUCAAAUCAAUUUUAUUAAAUGAUAUUCUUUCUGAAUAAACCUAAAAAGGUUGUUAAGAUUUUUCUUGUAAUAAAUAAAUGUUCCGCCGGCAGAACAGAAUCACUUAUGGUUAUAUCCUAUGUUUAAAUUGAUGUUAUCAUACUUAUGUUCCGCCGGCAGAACAAUUUCAAAUCAAUUUUAUUAAAUGAUAUUCUUUCUGAAUUAUAUUUUUGAUUAAACCUAUAAAGGUUGUUAAGAAUUUUCUUGUAAUAAAUAAAUGUUCCGCCGGCAGAACAGAAUCACUUAUGGUUAUAUCCUAUGUUUAAAUUGAUGUUAUCAAACUUAUGUUCCGCCGGCAGAACAAUUUCAAAUCAAUUUUAUUAAAUGAUAUUCUUUCUGAAUUAUAUUUUUGAUUAAACCUAAAAAGGUUGUUAAGAUUUUUCUUGUAAUAAAUAAAUGUUCCGCCGGCAGAACAGAAUCACUUAUGAUUAUAUCCUAUGUUUAAAUUGAUGUUAUCAAACUUAUGUUCCGCCAGCAGAACAAUUUCAAAUCAAUUUUUAUUAAAUGAUAUUCUUUCUGAAUUAUAUUUUUGAUUAAACCUUAAAAGGUUGUUAAGAUUUUUGAUAUUUUGUAAUAUGUAAAUGUUCUGCCGGCGGAACAGGAUUAUUUAUGAAUUUAUUUUUUCUUUGCGUUAGAGUGAAUCAUAUUUCUGUUCUGCUGGCGGAACAAUUUCAAAUGAGUUACAUUAUUUGAUUUUACUUUAAGAAAUAUAUUUUUGACAAAAUUUUGCAAAGGUGUUAAAAAUUGUAUCUUGUAGUAAAUAAAUGUUCCGUCGGCAGAACAGAAUCACUUAUGGUUAUAUCCUAUGUUUAAAUUGAUGUUAUCAUACUUUUGUUCCGCCGGCAGAACAAUUUGAAAUCAAUUUUGUUAAAUGAUUUUCUUUUAGAAUUAUAUUUUGAUUAGAAAUUUUUAUGAUUCUAUCUUAUUUUUGCAUUCAUAUGAACUGGAACCAUAUUUCUGUUCUGCUGGCGGAACAAUUCCAAUGAGUUCUUUUAUUUGAUUUUUACUUUAAGAAAUGCAUUUGUUACAAAAUCUUGCAAAGGUUGUUCAGAAUUGUGAUAUGUUGUAAUUAAUAAAUGUUCCGCCGGCAGAACAGAAUCACUUAUGGUUAUAACCUAGUAUGUUUUGAUACAUGUUUUCAUACUUAUGUUCUGCUGGCGGAACAAUUUAAGACUGAACUAUUUUGUAAAAUAACUUAAUAUAUGUUUUAUUUAAUGUUCCGCCGGCAGAACAUUUUAGCAUUUUUGGAUUCUUGCUAUCUCGCAGAAAGAACUGCUAAAUGUUCUGCUGGCGGAACAAAUCAUGAUUUAUUUGUAAUAAUAUGCUGUAUUUUUAUAACAAAAUGAAAUAAAUUUUGUGUUAAAUAUA
Ruditapes philippinarum (Manila clam) is the source of this 6030-nucleotide long non-coding RNA. RefSeq lists it as uncharacterized. The transcript has 2 exons. The record is from RefSeq and is a predicted model, not a curated record. NCBI's taxonomy places the organism in Eukaryota, Metazoa, Mollusca, Bivalvia, Venerida, Veneridae.